Molecule: ribosomal RNA, 497 nt
Filed under: uncultured bacterium
Lineage: Bacteria
Description: partial 16S ribosomal RNA
Rfam family: Bacterial small subunit ribosomal RNA
Source: RNAcentral
GAUGAACGCUGGCGGCGUGCCUAAUACAUGCAAGUCGAGCGAACAGACGAGGAGCUUGCUCCUCUGACGUUAGCGGCGGACGGGUGAGUAACACGUGGAUAACCUACCUAUAAGACUGGGAUAACUUCGGGAAACCGGAGCUAAUACCGGAUAAUAUAUUGAACCGCAUGGUUCAAUAGCGAAAGACGGUUUUGCUGUCACUUAUAGAUGGAUCCGCGCCGCAUUAGCUAGUUGGUAAGGUAACGGCUUACCAAGGCGACGAUGCGUAGCCGACCUGAGAGGGUGAUCGGCCACACUGGAACUGAGACACGGUCCAGACUCCUACGGGAGGCAGCAGUAGGGAAUCUUCCGCAAUGGGCGAAAGCCUGACGGAGCAACGCCGCGUGAGUGAUGAAGGUCUUCGGAUCGUAAAACUCUGUUAUUAGGGAAGAACAAAUGUGCAAGUAACUAUGCACGUCUUGACGGUACCUAAUCAGAAAGCCACGGCUAACUACGUG